GCCUACGGGGGGCAGCAGUAGGGAAUCUUCCACAAUGGGCGAAAGCCUGAUGGAGCAGCGCCGCGUGGGUGAAGAAGGUCUUCGGAUCGUAAAACCCUGUUGUUAGAGAAGAAAGUGCGUGAGAGUGACUGUUCACAUUUCGACGGUAUCUAACCAGAAAGCCACGGCUAACUACGUGCCAGCAGCCGCGGUAAUACGUAGGUGGCAAGCGUUAUCCGGAUUUAUUGGGCGUAAAGGGAACGCAGGCGGUCUUUUAAGUCUGAUGUGAAAGCCUUCGGCUUAACCGGAGUAGUGCAUUGGAAACU
This 305-nucleotide ribosomal RNA is filed under the name uncultured bacterium. Its description in RNAcentral is "bacterial SSU rRNA". It matches the Rfam family "Bacterial small subunit ribosomal RNA", at positions 337 to 634 of the family's 1533-position model. The record is from RNAcentral.